UGACCCCGAUCUCCUGGAGCAGUACGACAGCUGGCCAGACCUGUACUCGACGAGGUCGAGUUUUUCUCAUCCGGAAGGAGUUGAUGGGGACAUCAGAGCCCUUCAUCCAGAUGAUCCUGAGCCUCUGGAUUGAGUCUGACCUGGAUUGGGUCCAUUUGAGUCCGAGUCAUUUUCUUUUAUUGCAUUAUUUGCUUUUAUUUUAGUCAAGUCAAUUGGGUCAGUUGUUUUAUUAUUAGACUAGUCAAUUGGGUUUAUGUAAUUGGGUCAA
This 268-nucleotide long non-coding RNA is filed under the name Phoenix dactylifera (date palm). Its description in RNAcentral is "long non-coding RNA (PDAC_LNC005872)". Lineage: Eukaryota; Viridiplantae; Streptophyta; Magnoliopsida; Arecales; Arecaceae. The record is from RNAcentral.